GCUGCCUGAAAGCGGCCGACAGCAUCGGGGCCGUAUCCCCUGGGCAAACCUCGCACCCUCCGCACAGCCAGAACCCCCAAACAGAGCGACAGGGCACUGACUGCUGCAGGAUCCAGCCAGACAUGCCCUAUCUCGUUUCCAGCAGGGAGAACACGCACCCUAGGCCACCCCUUUCCCUGGACCAAGCCUGGCUUUCUGUGAGGCUCAGACUGCUGUCCCCACCUCGCAGCACACGGCCAUUGCGGCCGGUCCUCGGCUCCACGACUUGGGGGUGACUUACAACAGGGCCAAUGCAGCUGUAGCAAACAGCACAGGCACCUGGAGGAGCUGGCACAGGUUUCCCAAGGGUUAGGAGAGCCCUGCUGCAGCAGGAUCAGCUGUUUUUUCCGAAGAUGCAUAGGAUAUAAAAGACUCGAGAGUUCGCAAUACACCUGAAAUCGCUUCUUUGCACUCAGGGUCGCAGAACUCGAGAGCUGGGAAGGCAGGAGUGGUUUCACGAGCCUACAGGUUCAGGUCGGUGCCCAUGCCAACCUGGGUGCAGCCCAGAGCAUCUGCCACGGGGAGCUGGGACAAGCUCAGAGAGGCUGCCUGUGUUACCCACCUGAGCAGCUCCACUCAGCACAAAUAUCUGCUUCUAAACGCCUGACUGCACGGUGUGCACUUCAAUACUGCUGAUGCCUGCACUUGCUGCACGUGCACGGGACACUAAAGUCUUCUCCUCUGAAGGAGAUGAGUGAGUAACCGCUGAAAGAUCACAAAAGAAGCUAGUUUUCUGUCUCAGAGCAGACGGAGAGAAGUGCCUCAGCAGAGCCCUUGGAUAACCCUCUUGGUGCCGAGCGAGAGCUCAGAUCGUGAGCACACGUCAAAAGCAGUAAUGCACUUGGUCUGUCCAGGGCAGAGGUUUAAUCCUAACCCAUUCCUUGCUCAGCCUCCCCAGCCUGAACACACUCAGGAUGGAGUGCUGUGUCAGCCACAGCCUUUCCCCACAGAUACUGUGUCAUUCAGUUUACAGCAGCAAUGGAGAUUAAGACGAUGCAGUAUAAAACAGAGCUGUUAAUAUCUGCAAUUAGUUAAAGCUUUAACCUUCGAAGACAUUAAAAGAAUGAACUAAAAUCAUACCCUGAGAAACAUUAAAAGAAGAUGGCCCCAAGCCAUCAGGUAUCUCACAUGCUACGAGCCAGGUGUGAGACCAAAUGCUUCUCUUAGAUUCAGAACCCCUUCCAAAACUGGGGACAGGGAGGGAUUCACGCUGUGGCCCUCAGGGGGACCAGCAAGAGUGGAUCUGGAAGGACCCACGAACACUUCCCCCUGCUUCAGACCAAAACAGCAAACGCCAUUUUGCAACGUGGCUUGGUAAACUUUGAGCACCAAUAUUUCAGGCAGGUUGGGUUUUUAUGGGAGCCGUUUGCAUGGCACUGACCCAAGGCAGUGUCUGAGUUUGGGGGCCACUGCUCUGCUAGAUUCUCUCCUUACACGGCCGUGGUUUUGACAAGAACAAGCUGUCCAGUAACCUCUCUCUUUUUUGAACACACCAGUUUUCUUCACACUGAACUUUGUAUGGCAGCAUCUCUCCAUCCACUGGGAUGCCAGAGGCACGGCAAGUACAGCAGAACGUGGCAGCAACAUCUUUUAGGACAGGAACGCUGACAGAAUGACGAACAGCCCCGGCUGUUUCACCCUGAAACAAACUUCAAUUCUGCCCAUCUUGACAGAAAUGAACUAUGACAGGGGCUAAAAUCAGCACCAGAGAGGAGCUCCUCUGGAGAGACAGGAGAGGUCACACCGCUGGGAGGAUGAACAGGACGGCAGCGUAGCUCAACUCCCAUCUCUGGUGCGGUGCAGGGAACGUUCAGUACAUUGUCAGCAUCUGAGAGGGCACAGCUGUACCGGGGAGAUCACUGAUGGAUAUUCCUGCAGUCCAGACAACUUUCCAGAGCUGGUAAAAUAGACACUGGGCAAAACGUGACUGAGCACCAACUUUCUACCUCAGACCUCUAAACCUCGUAAAGUCAGCAAGGCACCAUCAAUGAGAACUGUAAUCACGGAAUAUCACAAACACCUACAACAGCAGAUACAGAAUGGAACAAAACCAGGCCAAGCCCCAC
Cyanistes caeruleus (blue tit) is the source of this 2105-nucleotide non-coding RNA. Lineage: Eukaryota; Metazoa; Chordata; Aves; Passeriformes; Paridae. The record is from RefSeq and is a predicted model, not a curated record.